UGUGGUAACACUUUAUUGACUGCACUAUUGUUCGGUGCUACUUUUGAUAUCUUAAAUGCCUGUUUCAGUAUCUAUUGGGAUCCACUAGCGCCAUCUUUUCCUCUGAGGACCAAACUCUCUUUUUUCCCAAUCAAUUCCAAAUUUCCAGUUCGAUUCUAUUCCAGCACGCUUUCUUGAAAAUCAUCAUUCCUUUAACUAUUUCUCUCAAUCACAUUCAAAACCUUUCAAAUUGCACUCAUUCACUCAUCUCUUAUAAUUCUCAUUUCAUUACAUCUUAAUUUGAUAUUUCUUUCCUUCUUCUACUCCUCUUUUUAGAUCUUUUUCAGUCUUCAGUUAACAGAUCAUACUGAUGGCUUCCCCAACUAAAGAAGAAUUAACCUCCUCUUCUUCUUCCACUCGCCAAUGGAACCAUGAUAUCUUCUUAAGUUUUCGAGGUGAAGACACACGUUAUGGUUUUACAUGCCAUUUAUACACAGCUUUGUGUAACUAUGGCUUAAACACCUUCUUUGAUAAAAAUCUUGAGAGGGGAGAAGAAAUUUCAAAGGAACUUCUUAAAACCAUUGAAAUGUCAAUGAUUUCGAUCGUUGUCUUGUCUGAAAAUUAUGCAUUUUCUAUUUGGUAUUUGGAUGAACUUGUCAAGAUUCUUGAGUGUAGAAAUACUGGACAGAUCCGGAAGGUUUAUCCAAUUUUCUACAAAGUGACUCCAUCCGAAGUUAGAAAAUAUGAGGGAAAGUUUGGGAUAGCACUAGAUAACCAUGAGAAAAAAUUCAAAGAUGACAUGGAAAAGGUUAAGAGAUGGAAGGAAGCUUUAACUGAAGUAGCUAACUUGUCUGGACAUGAAUACAAGAAUGGUGAAUAUGAAUCUGAAUUUAUCAAAAGAAUUAUUGAAGAGAUAUCAAGUAUUAAAUCAAUUCACAUAAAAUUACCUAUUGCUAAAUAUCCCGUUGAAGUAGAUUCUCAAGCAGAAGCCAUAGAAUCGCUUUUAGAUGUGGAGUCCAAUGGUGUUUUCAUGGUAGGAAUCUAUGGUCUUGGGGGAGUGGGUAAGACUACAAUCUCAAAAGCCGUUUAUAAUAGAAUUAAUGAUUGUUUUGAAGGAAGCUGCUUUCUAGAAAACGUUAGAGAAAAUUCAAAGACAAAUGCUGGCAUUAUCCAAUUACAAGAGAGACUGCUUUCUAAGAUCUUACGAAGUAGAAUUGUUAAGGUGAAUAGUGUACUUGAAGGAAUAACUAUGAUAAAAGAAAGGUUCUGCAAUAAGAAAGUUCUUUUAAUUCUUGAUGAUGUGGAUCAAUCAAAAGAGAUAGAAAAUUUGCUUGAAUAUUGUAACUGGCUUGCUUCAGGAAGUAGAGUCAUCAUAACAACAAGAGACAAAAACGUUCUACCCAAUCUUGGAAGAGAUCCUCAAAUAAGAACUUAUGAGGUUCAAAAAAUGAAUCCAUGUGAUGCUCUUGUUCUUUUCAAUAUGCACGCCUUUGGAAACAAUAAUCCUAAGCAAGGAUAUUCAAAUCUUGUAGAGCAAAUUAUGUCUUAUGUUGAUGGCCUUCCAUUAGCUCUAGUAACAAUGGGUUCUGAUUUGUAUGGCAAAAGUAUAGAUCAAUGGACAUGUGCAGUCGAAAAGUAUAAAAAGAUUCCACAUGGAGAAAUUAUUAAUAAACUCAAGAUUAGUUAUGAUGGAUUGGAAAAAAGAGAAAGGGAUAUUUUUCUUGAUAUUGCAUGUUUUUUUAAGGGAUUUAAAAUGGAUGAAGUUGUGAAUAUAUUAGAUGCUUGCAAAUUAUCUUCAAGUUUGGGUAUUAGUAAACUUAUUGAGAAGUGUCUCAUAACUGUUGACAUAUGGAGCAUACUGUGGAUGCAUGACUUGCUACAACAAAUGGGUAGAGAAAUCAUUGAACAAGAAUCUGAAGAGCUUGAAAAUCGUAGCAGGAUAUGGUGUUAUGAGGAUGCUUAUAAAUUGCUGACUGAAAACAUGGGGUCGAAUAAAAUUCGAGGCAUAAUGUGGUACUCACCUAAACCAAGAUUGGUGAAAUUGCAAGCUAAUGCUUUCAAAAAUAUGAGAAAUCUCAAAUUUCUCUUAGUUGAGAAUGUACGAAUUUCUAAAGGGCUUAAAUAUCUACCCAACGAGUUAAGAUUGCUUCAGUGGUCAGAAUAUGAUUUUCCCUUGCCAUUAAAAUUUUACCCUCACAAUCUUGUUGUGCUGAAUAUGCCGAAUAGUCAGAUUAGAUUGGAGAAACUAUUAAAACAGGGCCGCGCAUUUGAAGCAUUGAAAAAUGUCAAUCUCUGUGGGUGUAAAUUCAUUACAAAAUUACCUUCCUUAUUAUGCGCCCCAAACUUAAAGAAUUUGGAUAUGCGUGGCUGUGUAAAUUUAAUAGAGGUUCAUGAGUCGUUUGGAUAUCUUGAUAAGCUUGAAAGGUGGGACCUCACAAACUGCCGAAACCUUAUGAUUCUUCCAAGUCUCCUCGUGCUAAAGUCCCUUAAAUAUUUUAAUCUAAGUUACUGCGGAAGGCUUGAGAAGUUUCCUGCUAUUUGUGCCCCAAACUUAGUGUCAUUGUUCAUUUCUUUUUGUAAAAACUUGAUAGAGGUUCAUGAGUCAGUUGGAGAUCUUGAUAAGCUUGAAUGGUGGAACCUCGAAAGCUGCGUAAAACUUGAGAUUCUUCCAAGCCGCCUCCAGCUGAGAUCCCUUAAAUAUUUUAAUCUAAGUUACUGCGGAAGGCUUGAGAAGUUUCCUGCUAUUUGUGCCCCAAACUUAGAGGUAUUGUGCUUUUCUUUUUGUAAAAACUUAAUAGAGGUUCAUGAGUCAGUUGGAGAUCUUGAUAAGCUUCAAUGUUGGGACCUCGAACGCUGCAUAAAACUUGAGAUUCUUCCAAGCCGCCUCCGGCUGAGAUCCCUUCAAAGCUUGAAUCUAGGAAACUGCGGAAGGCUUGAGAAGUUUCCUGAUAUUCACCCAGAAAUGAAAUAUUUGGAGGAUUUAUAUAUGGCUAAUAGUGGUAUUAGAGAAUGGCCUUCAUCGUUCACGCAUCUCACCAAAGGGCUUCACAGUUUUCAGCUGUCUAACAAUGAAAACCUUUGGAAUUUUCUGCAUAGCCGCAAUAAAUUGCAACUACUCGAGGAAAUAGAUAUUCCCACUGUCAAUUCCUUUGAUGGCUUUUCGGGAUAUGGGUUUCCGAGCUUGACAUCUCUGCAGCUCUACUCUUGGGAUGGAGAUAUAACUGAAUUAGAUUUUCAAUACUUCCCUCUAUUGCGCUGUCUUGAUAUAUAUGAUUCCAAUAUUAUUAGUAUUCCCCAAAGCAUUAGCGGAUUAGCUAGAUUACGAGCUAUUGACAUACGAAAUUGUAAGCGGCUUCGGGAAAUUCCAACGCUUCCACAAUCUGUAAGAAAUGUGUCUGUAAGCGGAUGCCCGUCGGUGGAUCCACAAUCAUUUAGCAGAUUAUUGAUUCAGUUUGGAGGUGCAAGAAGCAACAUAUCAAUGGAUCCCAUUCAUGACUCUGAAUCUGAAUCUGAAUAUGAAAUUUUGUACCGUCUUACACUACCAGUAACAGAGAUUCCAAAGUACUUAAAAUUCAACCAUCAGACUUUUGGAAAUUCCGUAUCCUUCUGGGUUGGUAAAAAGUUUUCAAAAUUAGCCAUCUGUAUUGCUUUUCGAACGGGGGAGGCACAUAAGUACAACGAUUGUGGUGUCAAAAUUUCCAUCAAUGGGUGUGAACAACUAGAUUCAGUUUUCUAUAAAAAUUGGACAGAAGAGGAACUGUGGUUAUUGUCUAUAUCCUUUGAGAAAUUGAAUAAACAAAAACUAUCUCUACAGAAUCACAUUGAAGUUGAGGUUAUACCAUUAAGUUCUCAUGACUUGCUUGGAAACCACACUGAUUUGAUAAAAUGGUUGGGGGCCAAUGUGGAAUGCACCUGCUAUCCUCAGAAUUCAGAUGUUACUUGCUUUCCGCUUCCGUGUGCUAUGAAUGGUUGUGGGUCUUCCUCGAUUUCGAAUGACACUGAGCUCCCGCCUUUGCGACCUGUUUCCUCCACUUCUUAUGCUUCAGAUUCAGAUCACAGGGUUCUUAACAAUGGAAGAAACUUAUCCAAAAAAAAAAAAAAACAAUGGAAGAAAUUACAUACUUGCUGGAACAGGACUCCAAAAGCGAAGAAGAAUUUGUCUCUGACGGCAAAGCCCAGCAGAGAGCGGAGCUCUAAACCUUGGAGAUGGAGCUCUUCUCUUAUUCAAUUUCUUCUUCAUUUUCUAAACAACACAUAAUUAUGAUGUUAGAGAAUAUCCUCGAAGACACAGUGGACCAUUCUUUGGUUGUUUGGCCUCGUUGGAGCAUAAUCAUGUGCCAAGUAAGCUUACCUUCAAUGUUUUGAAACAGCUCAAGACCUCUGUUGUUGACAGGAGUUUCAAACCUCUGAGGCAUCUCUGUACAGAAGUUGUUUUGCUGAUGCCCUACUUUACUAAUCUCUUUAACCAAUUUUGCCUUCCAUUUGAUAGCAUCUGAUAUCUACAAAAAUCCAUACCUUUUUCCCUUUUUGUUUCCUAGGUCAACUUCAUCACUUAAGAAGGAGACAUGUUGCAUUGUACAGUGAAAAAAUGUGGAGCAGCUGUUACAAUGGACAAUACCUAUGUUCAGGUCAUCAAGAUAUUACACUUAUACAUCUUAAAAGCAUUUUCCCACAACUUAAAGUUUCUUGGUAGUAUAGCACAUGAACAUAAGUUGAAGGUACCAAGAGAAAAAGUGCAACUAAAGGAACCGAUUUUAGCAGUUCAAAGAGUUUCUUUGCUGAUUUGUAGAUGUUUGGUGGAUUGGUGGUUUCGAUCUUUUAGGUUCAUCUCAAUUCUAAUACAAGAAAUUUCACUUCAGAUUUCUUUGGUAAUCCUAUCCAUGACCUUCAUUUGGCAUCUUGAUGACAAGAGUAAUGUUUACAUGGUGGUGUUGGUUGAUCUAUUUUAAGAGAUUAUAAUGUUUUUUUUUUUUUUCUUCUUCAAUUUUUGGACUUUUCCCUCCCACUUGUAUGAAAGGAAGUAAGUUGAAGGCUCUUUGCUCAAAUUAUGAGAUAAUACCAAAUUAAGCAAAAUUUGAAUUGUUUAUUCUUAUAUUUCAAAAGUAAAGUAGAGAUCAUUAUG
This is an RNA transcript of Quercus lobata, 5101 nucleotides long. It is a transcript of the gene named TMV resistance protein N-like, with no coding region annotated. The transcript is spliced from 10 exons. The record is from RefSeq and is a predicted model, not a curated record. Lineage: Eukaryota; Viridiplantae; Streptophyta; Magnoliopsida; Fagales; Fagaceae.